RNAcentral lists this ribosomal RNA (460 nucleotides) under uncultured bacterium. Its description in RNAcentral is "partial 16S ribosomal RNA". It matches the Rfam family "Bacterial small subunit ribosomal RNA", at positions 338 to 795 of the family's 1533-position model. The record is from RNAcentral.
CCUACGGGGGGCUGCAGUGAGGAAUAUUGGUCAAUGGCCGCGAGCCUGAACCAGCCAAGUAGCGUGAAGGAUGACGGCCCUACGGGUUGUAAACCUCUUUUAUAGGGGAGUAAAGUGAGUCACGUGUGCCUCUUUGCGUGUACCCGAUGAAUAAGCAUCGGCUAACUCCGUGCCAGCAGCCGCGGUAAUACGGAGGAUCCGAGCGUUAUCCGGAUUUAUUGGGUUUAAAGGGUGCGUAGGCGGGUUGUUAAGUCAGUGGUGAAAGUUGGCGGCUCAACCGUAAAAUUGCCGUUGAUACUGGAACCCUUGAGUGCAGUAGAGGUAGGCGGAAUUCGUGGUGUAGCGGUGAAAUGCAUAGAUAUCACGAAGAACUCCGAUUGCGAAGGCAGCAUACUGGCGUGUAACUGACGCUGAUGCACGAAAGUGUGGGUAUCGAACAGGAUUAGAUACCCGAGUAGUC